This 307-nucleotide long non-coding RNA is filed under the name Musa acuminata (dwarf banana). Its description in RNAcentral is "long non-coding RNA (MACU_LNC003739)". The record is from RNAcentral. Lineage: Eukaryota; Viridiplantae; Streptophyta; Magnoliopsida; Zingiberales; Musaceae.
UCAUCUCAUGAUUCAGAAUAAGAAUCAGUAAUAAAGGACAUGAGAAUCACAUAAUAAGUUACUUGACUUUUGAGUACACAGUUUCAUUUAAUCAUAUGUGUAGCAGUGGAAAAUGCCAUCAGCAGUACAUAGCUAAUUCAGCAGCUAAUAAAAUAAAAGUAUAAAAAAAGAGCAAAGGUCUCAUCUACCACAUGGUUCCUGUUCUUCAUUGAUCAGAAAGAUGAGCUAUUUCUUAUAAGAAAGUAUAGAGAGAGAGAGAGAGGCCUCUUCAUGUUGAUCCAUAUUGCAUCCUCUUCUGAACUUAAUU